UGGGGAAUUUUGGACAAUGGGGGAAACCCUGAUCCAGCCAUCCCGCGUGUGCGAUGAAGGCCUUCGGGUUGUAAAGCACUUUUGGCAGGAAAGAAACGUCAUGGGUUAAUACCCCGUGAAACUGACGGUACCUGCAGAAUAAGCACAGGCUAACUACGUGCCAGCAGCCGCGGUAAUACGUAGGGUGCAAGCGUUAAUCGGAAUUACUGGGCGUAAAGCGUGCGCAGGCGGUUCGGAAAGAAAGUUGUGAAAUCCCAGAGCUCAACUUUGGAACUGCAUUUUUAACUACCGGGCUAGAGUGUGUCAGAGGGAGGUGGAAUUCCGCGUGUAGCAGUGAAAUGCGUAGAUAUGCGGAGGAACACCGAUGGCGAAGGCAGCCUCCUGGGAUAACACUGACGCUCAUGCACGAAAGCGUGGGGAGCAAACAGG
This 429-nucleotide ribosomal RNA is filed under the name Acidobacteriota bacterium. RNAcentral describes it as "Acidobacteria bacterium partial 16S ribosomal RNA". It matches the Rfam family "Bacterial small subunit ribosomal RNA", at positions 355 to 776 of the family's 1533-position model. The record is from RNAcentral. Lineage: Bacteria; Pseudomonadati; Acidobacteriota.